RNAcentral lists this unclassified non-coding RNA (440 nucleotides) under Hevea brasiliensis (rubber tree). Lineage: Eukaryota; Viridiplantae; Streptophyta; Magnoliopsida; Malpighiales; Euphorbiaceae. The record is from RNAcentral.
UUCUUUCCAAGAACGCUGGUUUCCACUUUUAAGCAGAUGAUUAAUGUAAUCUUCGAGAAAAAUUAAUGUAAUCUUCAAGAAGUGUGAUCCAGCUUGCGUUUAUGCAAACCUCUUUCUUUUCUUUUAGUCGGAUGAGGUUGGUACUGCACUAUUUGCUAAGGGCUUAGUAUAUACAUAAUCUUGCCAAUUUGUUUUAUUAUAUUGUAAUUAUGUGAUGAAUUUUAAUGUUGUGUUAUCUAUAUGAUUAAGCUCCUAGCUAGCUAGCUAGAACCUUCUCUUUAUAGCAUUUCAGCUGCGGCUUCAAGGGUAAAAUUUCUGGGAAAGAUUAGUGUUUCUGGUUAUAAUGUUGAUGGAAUUCACUAGUCACAUACAAACUUAAUUAAUAAUUAUAAGCUGGUCGGUGAUUAAUUUUGUUCUUGCACAAUUGAUCUGUAAUGAUG